UUAAUAAUUAUUUAUUAAUUUUUUUAUUUAAUUUAUAUAAAUUAUUAAAAAUAAUUAUAAAAUUUAAUGUUUUAGUAUAUUAUAUAUAAUAAAUAAAUUUAAUAAUAGUUUAUUAGUAUUGUAAAAUAAUAUUGAAAUAUAAUGAAAAAUUUUUAUUAUAAAAGAAAAUUUUAUUUAUUGUAUCUUGUGUAUCAGAGUUUAUUAAAUAAAAAAUAUAUAAUAUAUUUUUCUCGAUUUUAAAAGAUUUAAUAAAUUAUAAAAUUUAAUGUAAUAAAAUUAUUUUAAAUAAUUUAUUAGAAAUGAAAUGUUAUUCGUUUUUAAAUAUAUCUAGUUUUUUAAGAAAUAAAUUAAAUUUAAUUUUAAAAAUUUAUUUAUUUUAUUUUAAUAAAUUAAAUAAUUUUUUAAAUUUAAUAUUUUAUGGGAUAAGCUAUAAAAUAAAUUUUUAUAAAUAAUAAAUAAAAAUUAAAAUAUUAUAUGUUUAGAAUUAUCAAUUUUUAUUAAAUUUGUUAUAAAUUAAUUUUUGUAAUUAAAUUAUUUAUUAUAUUUUAAAUUUUUAUUAAAAUAUUUAUUUUAAUUUUAAAAAUAAAGUAAUAAUGAUAUAAUUAGUAUAUUAUUAUGUAAAAAAAAAUUAUUUUAAAUUGUAAAGUUUAUUUAAAGAAUUCGGCAAAAAUAAUAUUCGCCUGUUUAACAAAAACAUGUCUUUUAGAAAUUAAUUUAAAGUCUAACCUGCCCAAUGAUUUUUUUAAUGGCUGCAGUAUUUUAACUGUACAAAGGUAGCAUAAUCAUUAGUCUUUUAAUUGAAGGCUGGAAUGAAUGGUUGGACGAAAUAUUAACUGUUUCAUUUAAAAUUAUAAUAAAAUUUUAUUUUUCAAUUAAAAAGUUGAAAUAUAAUUAAAAGACGAGAAGACCCUAUAAAUCUUUAUAUAUUUAUUAUUUUACAUUUAAAGAUUAAUUUAUUUAUAAUAAAAUAAUAUAUUUUAUUGGGGUGAUAUUAAAAUUUGAUAAACUUUUAAAAAUUAAAACAUUAAUUUAUGAAUAAUUGAUCCAUUUUUAAUGAUUAAAAAUUUAAGUUACUUUAGGGAUAACAGCGUAAUUUUUUUGGAGAGUUCAUAUUGAUAAAAAAGAUUGCGACCUCGAUGUUGGAUUAAGAUAUAAGUUUAGGUGUAGCUGUUUAAAUUUUAAGUCUGUUCGACUUUUAAAAUCUUACAUGAUCUGAGUUCAAACCGGUGUAAGCCAGGUUGGUUUCUAUCUUUAAUUAAAAAAAAUAUUUUAGUACGAAAGGAUUAAAUAUUUAAAUAAUUUAUUUUAAAAAUUAGAAUUUAAUUAAUUAUUUAAA
This 1336-nucleotide ribosomal RNA is filed under the name Epistrophe bashanensis. RNAcentral's name for it is "16S ribosomal RNA". Lineage: Eukaryota; Metazoa; Arthropoda; Insecta; Diptera; Syrphidae. The record is from RNAcentral.